RNAcentral lists this ribosomal RNA (711 nucleotides) under uncultured bacterium. Its description in RNAcentral is "bacterial SSU rRNA". It matches the Rfam family "Bacterial small subunit ribosomal RNA", at positions 105 to 801 of the family's 1533-position model. The record is from RNAcentral.
GGUGAGUAACACGUGGGCAACCUGCCUGUAAGAUCGGGAUAACGCCGGGAAACCGGGGCUAAUACCGGAUAUUUUUUUCCUCCGCAUGGAGGAAAAAGGAAAGACGGCUUCGGCUGUCACUUACAGAUGGGCCCGCGGCGCAUUAGCUAGUUGGUGGGGUAACGGCUCACCAAGGCCACGAUGCGUAGCCGACCUGAGAGGGUGAUCGGCCACAUUGGGACUGAGACACGGCCCAAACUCCUACGGGAGGCAGCAGUAGGGAAUCUUCCGCAANGGACGAAAGUCUGACGGAGCAACGCCGCGUGAGUGAAGAAGGCCUUCGGGUCGUAAAACUCUGUUGCCGGGGAAGAACAAGUGCCGUUCGAACAGGGCGGCGCCUUGACGGUACCCGGCCAGAAAGCCACGGCUAACUACGUGCCAGCAGCCGCGGUAAUACGUAGGUGGCAAGCGUUGUCCGGAAUUAUUGGGCGUAAAGCGCGCGCAGGCGGCUUCUUAAGUCUGAUGUGAAAUCUUGCGGCUCAACCGCAAGCGGUCAUUGGAAACUGGGANGCUUGAGUGCAGAAGAGGAGAGUGGAAUUCCACGUGUAGCGGUGAAAUGCGUAGAGAUGUGGAGGAACACCAGUGGCGAAGGCGGUUCUCUGGUCUGUAACUGACGCUGANGCGCGAAAGCGUGGGGAGCAAACAGGAUUAGAUACCCUGGUAGUCCACGCC